RNAcentral lists this ribosomal RNA (292 nucleotides) under uncultured bacterium. RNAcentral's name for it is "partial 16S ribosomal RNA". It matches the Rfam family "Bacterial small subunit ribosomal RNA", at positions 505 to 796 of the family's 1533-position model. The record is from RNAcentral.
GUGCCAGCCGCCGCGGUAAUACGAAGGGGGCUAGCGUUGUUCGGAAUUACUGGGCGUAAAGGGCGUGUAGGCGGCUCGUUAAGUCAGGUGUGAAAUUCCUGGGCUCAACCCAGGACGUGCGCCUGAUACUGGCGAGCUUGAGUCCGGGAGAGGAUGGUGGAACUCCCAGUGUAGAGGUGAAAUUCGUAGAUAUUGGGAAGAACACCCGUGGCGAAGGCGGCCAUCUGGACCGGUACUGACGCUAAGGCGCGACAGCGUGGGGAGCAAACAGGAUUAGAAACCCCCGUAGUCC